RNAcentral lists this ribosomal RNA (1386 nucleotides) under uncultured bacterium. RNAcentral's name for it is "16S ribosomal RNA". It matches the Rfam family "Bacterial small subunit ribosomal RNA". The record is from RNAcentral.
AGAGUUUGAUCCUGGCUCAGGAUGAACGCUGGCGGCGUGCCUAAUACAUGCAAGUCGAACGCGGGCACUUGUGCCCGAGUGGCGAACGGGUGAGUAAUACAUAAGUAACCUGGCCUUUACAGGGGGAUAACUGCUGGAAACGGCAGCUAAGACCGCAUAGGUAGGGACACUGCAUGGUGACCGUAUUAAAAGUGCUGCAAGGCACUGGUAGAGGAUGGACUUAUGGCGCAUUAGCUGGUUGGUGAGGUAACGGCUCACCAAGGCGACGAUGCGUAGCCGACCUGAGAGGGUGACCGGCCACACUGGGACUGAGACACGGCCCAGACUCCUACGGGAGGCAGCAGUAGGGAAUUUUCGGCAAUGGGGGGAACCCUGACCGAGCAACGCCGCGUGAAGGAAGAAGGAAUUCGUUCUGUAAACUUCUGUUAUAAAGGAAGAAAGACGGAUGGAGGAAAUGACAUCCGAGUGACGGUACUUUAUGAGAAAGCCACGGCUAACUACGUGCCAGCAGCCGCGGUAAUACGUAGGUGGCAAGCGUUAUCCGGAAUUAUUGGGCGUAAAGAGGGAGCAGGCGGCAGCAAAGGUCUGUGGUGAAAGACUGAAGCUUAACUUCAGUAAGCCAUAGAAACCGGGCAGCUAGAGUGCAGGAGAGGAUCGUGGAAUUCCAUGUGUAGCGGUGAAAUGCGUAGAUAUAUGGAGGAACACCAGUGGCGAAGGCGACGAUCCGGCCCGCAACUGACGCUCAGUCCCGAAAGCGUGGGGAGCAAAUAGGAUUAGAUACCCUAGUAGUCCACGCCGUAAACGAUGAGUACUAAGUGUUGGAAGUCAAAUUUCAGUGCUGCAGUUAACGCAGUAAGUACUCCGCCUGAGUAGUACGUUCGCAAGAAUGAAACUCAAAGGAAUUGACGGGGGCCCGCACAAGCGGUGGAGCAUGUGGUUUAAUUCGAAGCAACGCGAAGAACCUUACCAGGUCUUGACAUACUCAUAAAGGAUCCAGAGAUGGAUAGAUAGUUAUAUGAGAUACAGGUGGUGCAUGGUUGUCGUCAGCUCGUGUCGUGAGAUGUUGGGUUAAGUCCCGCAACGAGCGCAACCCUUGUCGUUAGUUACCAUCAUUAAGUUGGGGACUCUAGCGAGACUGCCAGUGACAAGCUGGAGGAAGGCGGGGAUGACGUCAAAUCAUCAUGCCCCUUAUGACCUGGGCUACACACGUGCUACAAUGGAUGGUGCAGAGGGAAGCGAAGCCGCGAGGCGAAGCAAAACCCAUAAAACCAUUCUCAGUUCGGAUUGUAGUCUGCAACUCGACUACAUGAAGUUGGAAUCGCUAGUAAUCGCGAAUCAGCAUGUCGCGGUGAAUACGUUCUCGGGCCUUGCACUCACCGCCCGUCA